RNAcentral lists this ribosomal RNA (158 nucleotides) under Claviceps purpurea (ergot fungus). RNAcentral describes it as "5.8S ribosomal RNA". It matches the Rfam family "5.8S ribosomal RNA". From Rfam's summary of the family: 5.8S ribosomal RNA (5.8S rRNA) is a component of the large subunit of the eukaryotic ribosome. It is transcribed by RNA polymerase I as part of the 45S precursor that also contains 18S and 28S rRNA. Lineage: Eukaryota; Fungi; Ascomycota; Sordariomycetes; Hypocreales; Clavicipitaceae. The record is from RNAcentral.
AAACUUUCAACAACGGAUCUCUUGGUUCUGGCAUCGAUGAAGAACGCAGCGAAAUGCGAUACGUAAUGUGAAUUGCAGAAUUCAGUGAAUCAUCAAAUCUUUGAACGCACAUUGCGCCCGCCAGUAUUCUGGCGGGCAUGCCUGUUCGAGCGUCAUUU